UACGGGGGGGGUAAGCGUUGUUCGGAAUUACUGGGCGUAAAGGGCUCGUAGGCGGCCAACUAAGUCAGACGUGAAAUCCCUCAGCUUAACUGGGGAACUGCGUCUGAUACUGGAUGGCUUGAGUUUGGGAGAGGGAUGCGGAAUUCCAGGUGUAGCGGUGAAAUGCGUAGAUAUCUGGAGGAACACCGGUGGCGAAGGCGGCAUCCUGGACCAACACUGACACUGAUGAGCGAAAGCCAGGGGAGCAAACGGG
RNAcentral lists this ribosomal RNA (253 nucleotides) under uncultured bacterium. RNAcentral describes it as "partial 16S ribosomal RNA". It matches the Rfam family "Bacterial small subunit ribosomal RNA", at positions 524 to 776 of the family's 1533-position model. The record is from RNAcentral.